Molecule: ribosomal RNA, 499 nt
Filed under: uncultured bacterium
Lineage: Bacteria
Description: partial 16S ribosomal RNA
Rfam family: Bacterial small subunit ribosomal RNA
Source: RNAcentral
GACGAACGCUGGCGGCGUGCUUAACACAUGCAAGUCGAACGGGCCCGCUCUCUUUUUUGGGGGUGGGUUGAGUGGCGAACGGGGGAGUAUCACGUGAGUAACCUGCCCCCUGCUCCUGGAUAACUGCUUGAAAGGGCGGCUAAUACGGGGUGUGCCGGCUGGUCCGCAUGGGCCUGGUCGGGAUCGUUUCAUCUUCGGGUGUUUCGGUGGGGGAUGGGCUCGCGGCCUAUCAGCUUGUUGGUGGGGUGAUGGCCCACCAAGGCGGUGACGGGUAGCCGGCCUGAGAGGGGGGGGGGCCACACUGGGACUGAGACACGGCCCAGACUCCUGCGGGAGGCAGCAGUGGGGGGUAUUGCACAAUGGGCGGAAGCCUGAGGCAGCGACGCCGCGUGAGGGAUGGAGGCCGUCGGGUUGUGAACCUCUUUCUCCGGUGGUGAAGGCCCUGUCCGUUGCGGCGGGGUUGACGGUAGCCGGGUAUGAAGCGCCGGCUAACUACGUG